CCUGAUCUUCCACUGGAGCAUCCAAAUUUUGCAGUUGUGUAUCAAAUGACAGCAACCUUUACACAUUCAAAAUUUGAAGCCAAGAUACCACCGUCCAUAUGCUUGCAACCCCAAUAUUGUUAAAAACGAAGAAACAAUGUAAAAAUCCAAAUUUUACAUUUAGUUAUAGCUUUUGUGUAAACGGAGCUUCCACGGAGCUCUUAGUUCUAGAGAGUGCUCUGUGGAAAUAGCAAUGCAAGGGCAAGAUCUGAUCGGUAGCACUCAAACAGGUGAUCUUAGGGCUGUGCAAAAUGGUGUACAAAAAUGCGCAUGAGUCGGAAUUGUGAAACCAAGUCAACUCUCACUUAGAAGUUUAUGUACUAGGAGGUCAUCCUUGAGUGACCUGGCACGAGGAAUUUAACCAACAUGGGCAUGAAAAUUCAAGCUCGGGCAGUACCCCCAUUUCAAGGAAAAUGAGACCAUUCGACGAUGGUAACCCAAUGGCUUUCUUUGUUGUUUUUCCUUAAUGAGUUAACGAUUCCUUGCUUUUUACUGAGUUUUUGGCUAUGUGUUUUGUAUUUCUGAGCUUCAAGGCACAUUUGCCCAGUACAUAUAAUUGUUUUCGUAAUUUAGUAUUCAGCAUCGCUUGCCAAUUUAUUGCAUGAAAAUUUUGAA
Molecule: long non-coding RNA, 654 nt
Organism: Pyrus x bretschneideri (Chinese white pear)
Lineage: Eukaryota; Viridiplantae; Streptophyta; Magnoliopsida; Rosales; Rosaceae
Exons: 4
Source: RefSeq, a predicted model, not a curated record